RNA transcript from Papaver somniferum (opium poppy), 1809 nucleotides. RefSeq lists it as uncharacterized. The record is from RefSeq and is a predicted model, not a curated record. The transcript has 7 exons. NCBI's taxonomy places the organism in Eukaryota, Viridiplantae, Streptophyta, Magnoliopsida, Ranunculales, Papaveraceae.
AAAGAUCAGAUUGGAUGUUUUAUAGACGGGAGAAGAAGAAUAAGAAGAUUUAGAGGUGGGUUUUGGCGAUGGUAAUGAUGAAGAAUACUCAUCCAUGGUUGAACAGAAUAAAUCUUGUGGAUGAUGCAUCAAUGAGCCUAGCUACUGCUUCUUCUUUGGCCUAUGGGUUGGAGAAGAAAGACAACCGAACUUUCCUAGUGUUUGAUCUUGAUGGUGGUAUCUUUGAUGUUUCAGGUUGUGUUUUGUGGCGUCAGCUCAGUGGUAUGGUGGAUGAAAGUCCUGCUCAGGAAGCUAGUAUAAGCGCAUUUACUGGGGAAAGUUCAGAUUCUAUUGUUGAUGUUAAUGUUAAGACCUUGGAUUCACAGAUUUAUACAUUCCGAGUUGAGAAAAUUAUGAUUGUCCAAGGAGAACACAGCUAAGACAACUAGUGUGCCAGUUGAGCAGCAAUGUCUUACUUUUAGGGGAAAUAUUUUGAAGGACAAUCAGUGCCUCUCAGAAUAUCGUAUCCUAACAUGUUCAUGUUUCAGAACUUCGAUUUGAGUAGUACUUAUUUGCAAUGACCAAGGAUCAAGGUCUCACAUAUUUAAUUUGUGAUUUUGGAACUGUUGCCUCUGCAUAACUAAAUUGAUAUUGUCUUAAAAGAUUUAGCAAACUGACUUACUACCUUAGCAAUUUGUUUUUCUAUUCUGAGAAAUAGUAUGAGAAAUCGACACCCUAAUAGGGUUGGAUCAAUCCAUCAGAGAGAUGAGCGAACCAAUGAUAGAAUAAAUUAGUCUACUCGCAAAUGACUUUAUUUUGUUGAUAUGAAAUGAUCCUACUACUGCUGCUCCGAUCAGGUUGGUCAAGUUUCACAUAACGUAGUUCUUGGAACGUUUAAUCUUUGGGACCAAAGUCAAAAUGGUGUUCCUAACUUUAGUCGGGUAUAAAACUCUUUGGUCAUUGGGCUUAUGCCUUCUAUUAUUGAUUCAUUUUGAUUUAUGCUUCGACAUAUCUGUCUCUUCUGUAGAUUGUUGACGCUGUUUUAAAUUCUAUUGGGCUUGGGAGCCAGAUCCCUAUGGGCGCAACAAACACAUCAUCCAGUGUGCCUCUAAGUGACAUCCUAUUGGCAGAAUUUGGAGUAGCUCUUGCAGUGUGAGUGCACAAGAUUCUUCAGUAAACCAGACCUCGAGUAGGCACGCAAAAGCAAGUGCAUAUGUCCUCUGAAACUUCGUUGGAGGCUACCCUUCCUGCUCUUUUAUGCUAAGGUGUCUACAUGUUCUGAUCACCAUGAAGUAAAGCCUGCAUAGUAUGAAUAAGUAUGUCAGUUGGCUCUUUUAAGAAAAUUGUUGAAUUUUAAGUUGGAAGGGUGCAAGAUGAAGCUAAAGUGAUGACUAUAGAGAGUGGAACGUAACUUGGGAUGGCCUGAGUUCGAUACCUUCAUGGAUGCCGUCACUCUCUUCCCGAUGGUCUCAUGAGGGUUGCUGAUGUCAUGGUUGAUGGUGAGAUCGUUGUUGCUGCUGGAUAAGGAAAUGUCGGAAAGGGUUGUGCUUCUACAGGAUCUUCUCUCAAGCAAGCUGGUGCCAAGGUCCUAAUGAUUGAACUUGUGGUUGAAAUUUUUAGGACUUGUUGUAUCACUUCUCUUUAAGAAACUUUAAUUAUAGGGAGUUGAAUCCUUUUUUUUUAUGGGUUUGGACUAAACUUAUGAGCACAGUUCAAUGUAAUGGAGCUGUCAUUUGGUAUUAGAUGAUUCAGGUUUUAUUUGGAAUUUGAAUUUGAAUUUGAAUUUGAAUUUGAAUUUUAAUAUUAAUUGUUAUUUGAAUUUCACUUGAA